Molecule: ribosomal RNA, 696 nt
Filed under: uncultured bacterium
Lineage: Bacteria
Description: bacterial SSU rRNA
Rfam family: Bacterial small subunit ribosomal RNA
Source: RNAcentral
AGCGGCGGAUGGGUGAGUAACACGUGGGGAACCUGCCCCUAAGUCUGGGAUACCAUUUGGAAACAGGUGCUAAUACCGGAUAAUAAAGCAGAUCGCAUGAUCAGCUUUUGAAAGGCGGCGUAAGCUGUCGCUAAGGGAUGGCCCCGCGGUGCAUUAGCUAGUUGGUAAGGUAACGGCUUACCAAGGCGACGAUGCAUAGCCGAGUUGAGAGACUGAUCGGCCACAUUGGGACUGAGACACGGCCCAAACUCCUACGGGAGGCAGCAGUAGGGAAUCUUCCACAAUGGACGCAAGUCUGAUGGAGCGACGCCGCGUGAGUGAAGAAGGUUUUCGGAUCGUAAAGCUCUGUUGUUGGUGAAGAAGGAUAGAGGUAGUAACUGGCCUUUAUUUGACGGUAAUCAACCAGAAAGUCACGGCUAACUACGUGCCAGCAGCCGCGGUAAUACGUAGGUGGCAAGCGUUGUCCGGAUUUAUUGGGCGUAAAGCGAGCGCAGGCGGAAAAAUAAGUCUAAUGUGAAAGCCCUCGGCUUGACCGAGGAACUGCAUCGGAAACUGUUUUUUCUUGAGUGCAGAAGAGGAGAGUGGAAACUCCAUGUGUAGCGGUGGAAUGCGUAGAUAUAUGGGAAGAACACCAGUGGGCGAAGGCGGCUCUCUGGUCUGCAACUGACGCUGGAGGCUCGAAAGCAUGGGUAGCGA